GACGAACGCUGGCGGCGUGCUUAACACAUGCCAGUCGAACGGAAAGGCCCUGCUUUUGUGGGGUGCUCGAGUGGCGAACGGGUGAGUAACACGUGAGUAACCUGCCCUUGACUUUGUGAUAACUUCAGGAAACUGGGGCUAAUACCGGAUAGGAGCUCCUGCUGCAUGGUGGGGGUUGGAAAGUUUCGGCGGUUGGGGAUGGACUCGCGGCUUAUCAGCUUGUUGGUGGGGUAGUGGCUUACCAAGGCUUUGACGGGUAGCCGGCAUGAGAGGGUGACCGGGCAAAAUGGGACGGAGAGAGGGACCAGACUGCAACGGGAGGCAGCAGUGGGGAAUAUUGCAGAAUGGGCGGAAGCAUGAUGCAGCAACGCGGCGAGCGGGAUGACGGUCUUCGGGUUGAAAACCGAGUUCGACUGAGACGAAGAGUGAGUGACGGUAAUGGGUAAAGAAGCACCGGCUAACUACGUG
RNAcentral lists this ribosomal RNA (468 nucleotides) under uncultured bacterium. Its description in RNAcentral is "partial 16S ribosomal RNA". It matches the Rfam family "Bacterial small subunit ribosomal RNA", at positions 28 to 507 of the family's 1533-position model. The record is from RNAcentral.